UGAAUCAAGACCACGUGGCACUGUCGGUUUCCAUUUCUUCUAACUACCUUUACCUUUACAGAUCCAGUAGCAAUAGCAUCCCAAAAUCUAGGGUUUCAAUUUGGUAAUCGUUUCCCAUUUUUCUGUUACCAAUAAAUCUCUUUAACAAUGUCCAAGAUCUCAAACACCGGUUACAGCGGAAUCCCCAGCAGCACCGCCGUCAGCAGCCCCAGCACCUCCACCCUUCCACCAGGGUCUCCUUCCACAAUUUUCGCUCGGGCGAGGUUCCACACGGAGAACUUCGUCGCCAAGCGCCGCCCAUGGCGAGACUUUUUCGACUUCUCCGCCAUCUCUCGGCCGAUAAGCUACGAAGACGCCAUGUCUCGGAUCAGGCAAAAUCUCAACUACUUCCGCGUCAACUACGCCAUGGUGAUGCUUCUAAUAAUCUUCCUCAGCCUCAUUUACCAUCCGAUUUCGAUGAUUAUUUUUCUGAUCGUACUCGUUGCUUGGUUUUUUCUUUACUUCUUCCGGGAUCCUCGCAGCCCUAUUAUGAUCUUCAACCGAGUUGUUGACGACCGAGUCGUGCUAACCUGUCUGAGUUUAGUAACAAUCUUCGCCUUGGCUUUCACGAAUGUCGGAAUGAAUGUGUUCGUCUCCUUGCUCAUAGUGGCUGUGAUUGUGGGGUUACACGCGGCGUUUAGAAGCCCUGAUGACUUGUUUCUUGAUGAACAAGAGGCGGUGGAUGGAGGUUUGCUUUCCGUUGUUGGUAGCGAUUCUUCAUCUAGAGCAGCUUACAGCUUCAAUUGAUGAUCCUGAAGAACAUCUUUACCUUGCUUGACUAAUGACAAAUUUAAGGAUGCCAGAUCUCUUUAAUUCAACCAAAGCCAUGUGUCGGUUGUUUUCGAUGGGCUUACUACACCAUUUCUUUGUCCUGUCGCCUCAUAACCAUAAAGCAAAUAUUAGGCUUAGCGGAGUGGAAGUGCCAAACUCCUCGCCAUGGCUCGCAAACUAUUUGAAACACCGCCCCCUAGCUCUCACUAGGGGGCUCGCCAUUGAUGACUUGCUGCAUGCAUAGUGUGAUGAAAGAGAACGUUUCUUUUGCUUGUGAUUGGAUGCAAUAUUUCACAUUUAAAUUGAUAUAAUUAAAUUACACUUUUGAA
Lactuca sativa (garden lettuce) is the source of this 1139-nucleotide RNA transcript. It is a transcript of the gene named prenylated RAB acceptor 1.E, with no coding region annotated. NCBI's taxonomy places the organism in Eukaryota, Viridiplantae, Streptophyta, Magnoliopsida, Asterales, Asteraceae. The record is from RefSeq and is a predicted model, not a curated record.